UUUAACAUGUGGUGAUCAUUGUGU
RNAcentral lists this non-coding RNA (24 nucleotides) under Arabidopsis thaliana (thale cress). Lineage: Eukaryota; Viridiplantae; Streptophyta; Magnoliopsida; Brassicales; Brassicaceae. The record is from RNAcentral.